Molecule: transfer RNA, 76 nt
Filed under: Faecalibacterium prausnitzii
Lineage: Bacteria; Bacillati; Bacillota; Clostridia; Eubacteriales; Oscillospiraceae
Description: tRNA-Gly
Rfam family: tRNA
About the family: Transfer RNA (tRNA) molecules are approximately 80 nucleotides in length.
Source: RNAcentral
GCAGGGUUAGCUCAUCUGGUAGAGCGGCUGCUUCCCAAGCAGCAGGCGGCGGGUUCGGGUCCCGUACCCUGCUCCA